Molecule: ribosomal RNA, 32 nt
Filed under: Veronica ochracea
Lineage: Eukaryota; Viridiplantae; Streptophyta; Magnoliopsida; Lamiales; Plantaginaceae
Also listed under: 1 other name
Description: partial 18S ribosomal RNA
Source: RNAcentral
UUUCCGUAGGUGAACCUGCGNAAGGAUCAUUG